Molecule: RNA transcript, 3481 nt
Organism: Lolium rigidum
Lineage: Eukaryota; Viridiplantae; Streptophyta; Magnoliopsida; Poales; Poaceae
Exons: 5
Source: RefSeq, a predicted model, not a curated record
GCGGAACAGCGAGCAGGGAGAACCGGGGACGGAGGCGCCUACGUCGACCACAGGUCCAACGGCGAACAACGGCAGUGCGUGGGAGAACCGGGAUGAUGACGGAAUCGAGGGGGCAAGGGUCCAAUCUACUCCUGGGAGGAGAUGUCGGCGAAGUUGCUCCGGAGAGCACUACCAGGUCACCUCCGCGGCUGCCGUCCGACCCAGGGUCGCCAGCGGCUUCGUCACCGCGUCGGAGCAUGGAGGAAAUGUCUGAAUCGGACUCUGGGUCGGAAAGGGGGACGAAGAGGAAGAGGGUCACCGAGCCUAGGGAUGGGGAUUCGGCGGGCUCUGGUUCCGACUCCUCUGGCUCUCCGUUCCGCAGGCCCAAGGCUCCCCUGAUGCCCAUCUGCACGGAGGAGGAUGGCACCGUGCUCUACGGCUUCACUGACGACCAAGACGUCAUGGACAGAUACCAUGAUGAUAUGCAGAAAUACAUCAAGAAAAGGGAUCGUCACAAGCGGAUGUUAACACUUGCACCGUCCAGUGUCACCGAACGCCGCACCGCCAAGGAGACAGAGUCUGUUCUAAAGUGUGCUGAAUCGGUUCUAAGCCUUUCAGCCUACCUGGAUGGCAAGAUGAUAAACCAGUGCACAGGGAUUGUCGUUGAGGUAGAUGCAUUUAGGAACUCCGCUAUCAUUCUCACCUCAGCAUGGCUUUUCUGCACCAAGAAACCUUUGGAUGAUUGGACAAAAAAGGAGUACGCUACUGAGGCAAAGGUUAAUGUUCAUAUGUUGGAUGACUCAACUUUAGAAUGUCGUUUGAUGUUCUUCAGCAAGCACUAUGAAAUAGCCUUCUUUGAGAUUAGUGGGGAUAUUUCAUUGAAGACUUUGUCAUUGGAACGUAAUGUGGAGUUAGGCCAGGAUGUAUUUCUAUUGGCUAGAGAUACAAAUUUGAAUCUGAUUUAUAAGCGAGACAAGGUGCAACUUGUAGAUCCUUGUGAACAUCAGCAAAAUCACUAUCAAUUCCUCAACGGUCCAAUUCCUCAGGUUAUAGUCAUCUUUUCUCCUCUCCCUCUCCGGCCUCACCUCUUCUCCCUCUGCUACUGCUAGCGAGCGCAACGGCGGGCGAACCAGAGGAUCUCGAUCUUCGCCACCGCAUCCUUGGCUCCAUGUCUUCUGCCAGCGGCGUAGUUUGGCGGACGGGUGGUGGAGAACGAUGCAGCCAUCCCCGUGGUCGGUCCCCUUUCCCAAGUGGAGGAGAGGCGUGCACGUGGUCGUCGGCGGAGCGAUGGGAUUGGAUUGGGGGCAGGGAUUGUCGGCGCUAGGAUUCCACGGCGGCCGGUGCCCGAGGUCGGUGAAGGCGCGGAAGAUCUUGGCGGCCAGGCUGAGGAUACGGCGGUUGACCACCAGACCGUGUUGCCAUCGAUGCCAAUCAGGUGGCGGCGCACGCGCUAGGAUCGUCGCGGUCUAGCGCCCUGACGCCAGGGACAUCACGCCCACGCUGCUCUUCUACUGUGCUACACCGUCCAGGUCCAGUACAAGCAGGUAUGACGUAUGUCUUCAUAUUUGGGGCUUCUUUUCCAGUCUACGGGUAGUGUGUCUGUGAUCGCCUGAACCGAUGCAAUCCAGUGAUGUCGAUGGAACUAUUCGGUGCAGACUUUCAAUCUCCUUCAGCUUUGAAAUUUUGAGUACGUUGCAGUCUAGCUUCUCUUUGAGUCCAGUUAAUUUCCGUGAUGAUUGAUACACUGGGUGAGCACCUGAAUCGAUGGCAGUUUGCAGAUUACUAAUAAAGAUUUAUGUCAUGGAGGAUCCCAGUGCAUAACAAAGCGUGGCGAGGUGGAUGGAAGAAUCAUCUCAGAUUGAGCAAGGGACAGUAACGUAAGUGUCAUAUUAUCUCUAUCUUUUCUCACUGUUGAUACUUAUGUUAAAGAAUCUGUAGUAAUCAACCAAUCCUCGUGUCCUCAUGGUGAAGUACUCCUUGGUAUUGGUUUGCUAAUUUAUUGCUGAAUAGCAAUCUAACUGCUGCAAUUGGUUAAAAAAAUGACCUGAAGGGUGAACCGGUGAAAAAAUGAUAUUGGUAUUUAUAUUUUCACUGGAUCCUUGCUUUGUGUUAUAUUACAGAUUCCCUGGAUGCGUUUUGUAGGCACAGGUUGAUUGAUUAUCCCAAUAUCUCUUCUCGACAUAGGAACGUUCAUAGUACAGUAGAUAUUUUUAAAUAGCACUGAAUUAGCACGAUGAAACUAAGAUUAUAGCAACCCAACUUGUAGCUAGCAGGACCAAUCGAAAGUGAAAGGGAAGAUAUCUUUUAUAGCUUAAGGGCAUCUCUAGAAAAGGUCUAGAUCCAAUCGUCGAUAUUUCCAUAUAUGCUAUAUACUCUAAGGGAUUUCUCCUUUAUAUCAUAUUUUUUCAAACAGGUCGCCUAAAUUCAUUCCCCUAUAACUAUCCUUUUUUCAUUUUUUGAAAGAAAAUUCUAGAACUAUCUUGACUACUGACAACAUAGCUCAUUUUCAUGUGCGCUAAGAUUCUCUUUUAAACCAUGAGCUAUAUAAGAUUUUUCUGCGACAAUAAAUAUAACCUUCUCCAUGUUAAAUUCAGCGACAUUUAGCUACCAGUAGUAACAUUCACCAAGCAGAGUAGUAGGAGCAGCGAACUUCAGCGCCCCGACGCCGGGGACAUCACGCCCAUGCUGCUCUUCAACUGUGCUACAUUGUCCAGGUCCAGUACAAGCAGUGGAGGAAGAGGUGUAUGCCGACAUCUGGUCAUUGCUGCGCCCACUAAGCAAGCAAGUCACUCAAUCCUUAUAAAUUCCCUAUUUCAGAUAACUUCUACUUAUACAAAUUCAUCUAUGAUACCAGUGAUCUAAGAAGUAUAUAUUCAGCCGAUUGGGAUGUGCUAAGUACCAUAUGUCUACUGUUUUGGUACCAAAAGUAGUAUGAGAUUGAUAUAUGUGUUGAUUAUAUAUGAGAUUCCAUAGGGAUAAACAUGAUAUUUUACUUUGCAAUAUCGAAAGAUAUGUAGUCAUGUAGCAUGUAACAAAAUUUAUCUCAUGGAAAUAGCAACUCACAUGAAGUAUAAUGAGUUUUGUGUAUUAUAGGAUCUUCGAGUGAAUGUUUCAUAUGCACAAUUUUUGGGCGGAUUAUUUCUUGUACAAACAUGUUUUUUUCUGCUAUCGAAUAUUAGGAUUUUCAAGGAGAAUGGCAGAGCAUUAAAUCUGGAGGAAUAAUAGUUUCACUGACAUGGGCUAGGCCAAACUCCUACCAAAGUGUUGCUCAUUCAAAAUUUGUAUGAACAGACUAGAUCGGUAAUCUAAUAUUUGUAUGCAUAUGACAAAUAUGAUCCAUGAUCUUUAACUUGAAUCUUCAAAUGAUUUUAGCUACUUCCAAUUUCGGUGUGGUCGCAUUGUUGAUCGCGUUGAAACUGCAUAUGCUAAUGUAGAUCCGACUUGAGUCUCGAGUUUGUAGGUAUGGAGUUGAUUCACCUCUCUAUUGGUUUCUGGCUCUUUG